AAUUACCAUCAAAUCUGCUACCAUAUAUUGCUUCGUAGUUCUUGCAUAAAACAACAAAGACAGUAAUGGACAUCUCUCUCCACAUUGCUUCACCCAACAACAGAGCUCUAAGCUGCACUCCAGCAGCUUAAAACCUGAAAGUGACCAAGGGGGGGAGAACCAAAGGAGCAAAACUAGGCACCAACAACUGCCAGAUUAAAGAAGAAAACUAAAGCUAAUCACUUCGCACAAUCCCUAUGUCAAGCACUACACACCGUACAACUAAAGUGUUCGAUCAGCUAGCAGCAGCUUGCUCAUCUCCCGAAGCUGCGCUCCCUGUUGGCGGCUCCGGCGCCGGCGCCGGCCGGUGCCGCGAGGCCGCCCAGCAGGGUCUUGGCGAUCUGCAGCUUGAGCUGCCCCCUCUUGAGCGGCGGCCUCUUCUCCUUGUUGCCGCCGCAGCCGUUGCAGGGGUACCCGUACUCCAUGGCAAGCUUCUCCGCUUCCUUUCUCACUCGAUGGCCGCUCGCUCUGUGCGUGAGCUUCUGGUAGCUCCCGGUGGCCUGCGCCGCUGGUGGAGAAGGCGAGAGAUGGCUGGCUGGCUUGGGGAUGGAGUGUGCAGGGCAGCGUGCAUUUUUAUAGCCGGAGGCCGGAGAUUUCAGACAUGUUGCAUUGGGAGAUGGAAACGCGCGUUGAUCAUCCAUUUGCUGGGGUCCGGGAAUAAAGUUGCAGGCUUGUUUUGAGCAUGUGGUUGUCUCUGUUGCGAGUGGGGAAGGCGUCACUUGACUUCGCACUAGCAGGCUAGAAGCUCUCGUUCCCUUCCCGACUACUUUUUCCUCGUCUUCUCAUAGUUCUUGGAAGCAUCCAUGAGGAGACAGGCAGGCCAAUGAGCAAAAACACAGGAUUAGGGAGGGAUUAGCCUCAUGUCAAUCAGAGAUUUGGCGAUCUAAUCUCGUGCCAAAUGCCCAUUUGGACCAGGAAAACAUGCAAUUGAGAAUUGACCCUUUCCAGUUUUCCUGUACCCUGUAAAAUAAAAUUAGGUCAUCCGAAAACAUGCAAUUGAGAAAUGUUGCAGAGUUCACCAGAUCUCCAUUUGCUUAUUAGAACAAAAAACAUUGCAUUAUCUAAAAAUGGAUUGCAUACCCUUUACUUGCGCUUUUCAGUAACAGUAUUGUUUUCC
This 1156-nucleotide long non-coding RNA is filed under the name Setaria viridis. Its description in RNAcentral is "long non-coding RNA (SVIR_LNC006129)". The record is from RNAcentral. Lineage: Eukaryota; Viridiplantae; Streptophyta; Magnoliopsida; Poales; Poaceae.